RNAcentral lists this ribosomal RNA (400 nucleotides) under uncultured bacterium. RNAcentral describes it as "bacterial SSU rRNA". It matches the Rfam family "Bacterial small subunit ribosomal RNA", at positions 355 to 772 of the family's 1533-position model. The record is from RNAcentral.
UGGGGAAUUUUCCGCAAUGGGCGAAAGCCUGACGGAGCAAUACCGCGUGAGGGAGGAAGGCUCUUGGGUUGUAAACCUCUUUUCUUAGGGAAGAUAAUGACGGUACCUAAGGAAUAAGCAUCGGCUAACUCCGUGCCAGCAGCCGCGGUAAUACGGAGGAUGCAAGCGUUAUCCGGAAUGAUUGGGCGUAAAGCGUCCGCAGGUGGUUUUGAAAGUCUGCUGUCAAAGCGUGCGGCUUAACCGCAUAAGGGCAGUGGAAACUACGAGACUAGAGUGCGUUCGGGGCAGAGGGAAUUCCUGGUGUAGCGGUGAAAUGCGUAGAGAUCAGGAAGAACACCGGUGGCGAAAGCGCUCUGCUAGGCCGCAACUGACACUGAGGGACGAAAGCUAGGGGAGCGAA